Molecule: transfer RNA, 77 nt
Filed under: Neglectibacter sp. 59
Lineage: Bacteria; Bacillati; Bacillota; Clostridia; Eubacteriales; Oscillospiraceae
Also listed under: 2 other names
Description: Neglecta sp. 59 tRNA-Pro
Rfam family: tRNA (bases 8-67)
About the family: Transfer RNA (tRNA) molecules are approximately 80 nucleotides in length.
Source: RNAcentral
CCUAGUCGUGGCGCAGUUGGUAGCGCGCUUGACUGGGGGUCAAGAGGCCGUGAGUUCAAGUCUCGCCACUCGGACCA